Molecule: long non-coding RNA, 678 nt
Filed under: Pan troglodytes (chimpanzee)
Lineage: Eukaryota; Metazoa; Chordata; Mammalia; Primates; Hominidae
Description: long non-coding RNA NONPTRT004537
Source: RNAcentral
UGCAUAAAUACAUAAUCAUAACAAACAUGAAAAACAAACUUUACAUUAUCUCUCGAUUCUCAUGCCUCAGCCUCCCGAGUAGCUUGAACACAGCCCAGCUCAUUUGUUCAUAUAUUGUUUAUGUUUUCAUGCUACAGUGGCACUGUAAUCAUAAGGUUGUGUUCUACAGUCAUUGCAAGGACAUUAUUACCCAUGCUUUGCUGAAGCUAGAUAAUACCAAUAGAUGAAAUCUGUUGUCAGAUGGUAAGAGGAAAUGAGUCUAGGACACACUGAAGCAUAAUUAUGAGCGGUGUUACAAGCAGCGGGGAGGUGGGAUGAUCUGUGAUGGUGAUGAGCCAAGGAGGGUCCUGGCUCCAAGGCCCAGACAGGGUCCCCAAAUAAUGAGGUGAUCUACAGGAAGACAUUACUCUAAUUAAUGUAAUUAAGACUUUAUUUAUAGUCAUUUGGGCUACAUUGUCAGCAAACCAAUUUGCCCAAGGUGGUAAUGAUUCUCUCAGCUUUGGAAAAUGAUGCUGUAGGCGUUGGUGUAGGGAUGGGGGGCAGGGGAGGGUACAAUUUAGCUCUGCUUUGUCAAAUCUUUUUUUUUUUUUUCCUUUUUCCCUCUACCCUCCACCCUCAGAGGUUUAUGAGUGCUGGAAGAACAUUUAGUCCUGGAAAAAGGCAAUAUUUUAACUCUUC